RNAcentral lists this unclassified non-coding RNA (411 nucleotides) under Lasianthus verticillatus. RNAcentral describes it as "partial external transcribed spacer". The record is from RNAcentral. Lineage: Eukaryota; Viridiplantae; Streptophyta; Magnoliopsida; Gentianales; Rubiaceae.
GCAGGAUCAACCAGGUAGCAUUCCUCGCUAACAAAACCCGACGAAGCAUGUAAAUGCGACGACGAGAGUCGUAUAGUUGGGACAAAAAUCGCUAGCUACGGGCCAAGACGAGACAUUGCUGUCGUACCCAAUGCAUAUUCCGCAUCCGAGAGCUCAAGCGAGCGUUCAUGGGCCAAAACAACUACAAUUGCAAUUCGAGUUACGUGGGACACAAACGACGCUUCGAGGUUCACCGCGGCCAAAGCCCGUAUCAAAACGGGCAAACGCCUGGUGAAUGAUACACGAUUUGGCAACAUAUCAUUCCAUUUAGUAGGCAUGCAACACAAGAAACCAAAGAAAAUGGGCGGCCAAGACAAGGUGCUCUUGUACCAUCAAAUGAAGAGAAGAACACGGUCGACCGUCACUGCUACA